Gossypium hirsutum (cotton) is the source of this 107-nucleotide non-coding RNA. The record is from Rfam. Lineage: Eukaryota; Viridiplantae; Streptophyta; Magnoliopsida; Malvales; Malvaceae.
AAUCCAUGUUGUGGGCAUCUCUAAAUUAGUGUUUUAAAAUGCUCCCAAGCUUCAUGAAAACUUUCCCCUUCUAAUUUUUUAAAAGUUGCGAUCUUCCUCCUUAGUUG